RNAcentral lists this ribosomal RNA (493 nucleotides) under uncultured bacterium. RNAcentral describes it as "partial 16S ribosomal RNA". It matches the Rfam family "Bacterial small subunit ribosomal RNA", at positions 29 to 523 of the family's 1533-position model. The record is from RNAcentral.
AUUGAACGCUGGCGGCAUGCUUUACACAUGCAAGUCGAACGGUAACAGGUUAAGCUGACGAGUGGCGAACGGGUGAGUAAUGCAUCGGAACGUGCCCGGUCGUGGGGGAUAACGCAGCGAAAGCUGCGCUAAUACCGCAUACGAUCUGAGGAUGAAAGCGGGGGACCGUAAGGCCUCGCGCGAUCGGAGCGGCCGAUGUCAGAUUAGGUAGUUGGGGGGGGAAAGGCUCACCAAGCCAACGAUCUGUAGCUGGUCUGAGAGGACGACCAGCCACACUGGGGAUGAGGCAGGGCCCAGACGCCUGCGGGAGGCAGCAGUGGGGAAUUUUGGACAAUGGGGGAAAGCAUGAUCCAGCAAUGCCGCGUGCAGGAAGAAGGCCUUCGGGUUGUAAACUGCUUUUGUACGGAGCGAAAAGGUCUCCUCUAAUACAGGGGGCUCAUGACGGUACCGUAAGAAUAAGCACCGGCUAACUACGUGCCAGCCGCCGCAGUAA